UACGGGGGGGGCAAGCGUUGUUCGGAAUUACUGGGCGUAAAGGGGACGUAGGCGGCCAACUAAGUCCGACGUGAAAUCCCAAGGCUUAACCUUGGAACUGCGUCGGAUACUGGAUGGCUUGAAUUCGGGAGAGGGAUGCAGAAUUCCAGGUGUAGCGGUGAAAUGCGUAGAUAUCGAGAGGAACACCUGCGGCGAAGGCGGGUUGCUGGGCUGACACUGACGCUGAGGCGCGAAAGCCAGGGGAGCGAACGGG
Molecule: ribosomal RNA, 253 nt
Filed under: uncultured bacterium
Lineage: Bacteria
Description: partial 16S ribosomal RNA
Rfam family: Bacterial small subunit ribosomal RNA
Source: RNAcentral